UCAAUGCAAAUUGGCCAUAACAAAGGAAUAGGUUCACACCACCCGGUGACAUUCGAAAAUAAAUGCACAAUUGAAAUAAAUAGAGAAUUUAAAUAUAGGAUCAACAUGCUCAAAGGAUUGUGUUUAGGAUCUGUGUGACUUGCCUUGAGCUUCCGCAAACACUUCCGAACCUUGCUCAACGAAAACGCUCUCCUCCGGAACGUCGGAAACUAAAGCGAAAGAACAAAAUUCAACAAAACAGUACAAAAACAAGCAUAAACAGUACAUGUGGAUAUUUUUAACAUGUAGAUCUUGAUUUUAGAAAAAUUUAGCAACUUGAACCACCUGAAACGGAUCUACGGUUAUUUAGUUAUGAUUUUCCGAAGAUUUAAUCUAUUAGAAAAACGAGAAAAAGAAAAACUGAUGACGUCGAUGACGUCAUGAUGACGUCAUCAAUGGCGGCCGAACCAAGAUGACGACCUCGCCGGAGAUAGCGCGACCGGCUGCGGAAUUGGAGGGCAUGUACACAUAGAGGACGACGAGACGAACCCGAUGGUACUCACCAACGCGACGAACGACGACGGAUGACGGCCGGCGACGAAGAAGCAACGGCGGCGGCGGCUUGCACGGUGGCGACGGCUCUACGGGUCACAGGAGAGGACGGGAGAGGGGGCAAACGAAAGAGGAGGACUAGGGGGUGCUUUAUAUAGGCUUGGACUAGAGAGAUCGGACUCCAAACGAGAGGAAUCGAAGCCGGAAAAUCAAAAACUCGGUUUUAGAGAUAAACUCGAAAACGAGUUUGAUUUGGAUAAAAUACCCAACGAUUUGCUCCGAUUCUUGGGGGAAAAGAUAGAGGAGGAUGAGAGGAUCAAAACCCCUCAAAAAUCCGGAGGAAACGGGGUCGGAUUGGAGCGGAUUUGGAGGCAGAAGGCGGCGCAAGGUGGCAGCUCGGGCUCUGUCCAGAGCUGGAAGAUGAACAGUAGCAGAGGGAGGAAAAGUAGACUUUUCCGGCUGGGCUUCAUUUCCUCGGCCCGAUUGAAGGAGGGAGGCAAAACAGACUUUGA
This 1043-nucleotide long non-coding RNA is filed under the name Oryza sativa (Asian cultivated rice). RNAcentral describes it as "long non-coding RNA (OSAT_LNC001723)". The record is from RNAcentral. Lineage: Eukaryota; Viridiplantae; Streptophyta; Magnoliopsida; Poales; Poaceae.